CCAUUAACGUGAGCCUCGGACCCGGCGCAUUUUAACGAUUUGGCGAACGCACUACCUUGGCCCGUCCGGUACCUGAAAUUCGAAACAUUCAGGGAUUAGGGUUCGUCUGACUUACGCCACAGUGCUCACAAUACACCCAUCAAUAUGGGCCGUUGAUUCCAAGUGCCCACAGCACCGCUCGAAUCUGAUGGCCGUGCCUUGUUGGACCAACCAAAACUCCCCGGAUCAGAAGUAAGUGCAUGACCACAAUCGGACGGCUGAUAAUCGAGUAUGUGCUCUCGAUAACCCCGUGUCUCCUCCAGGCGCACAAUAGCUCAUAUCCGAUAUAAAGUCUAUCCUCCUCCAUGGAUGCGCAUUACUCACUCCUCCCCAAUCUCUCCUCCUGUUCAUCAAGUUUUCUAUGAAUUUUUUGAAAUCCUAGUUGCGUUCCUCAGAUUUCUCAGCUAUUUCUCUCUCACCUCUGAUCACAUUGACGCAGAUUUUCGAAUGAUCGUUUUAUUUUAUGGAAAAUCUUUCUCGGAAAGAUCGGAAUGAAGAAUUGGGACUUUUUAGGGUUUCAACUGAUCUGGAGAUAAAGCAUUUGUACUGGACUUCGUCGCUCCAGUGUGGCAUCUUCAGUUUCAUGUCUUGAAAGUGGAAGCAAUGUCUGAUUUAACAAGUAUAGUGAAAGAAACUUCUGAGAAUGGUACAGAUCUGUCUCCAGAUGAUAUUGGCUCCAUUGAGGAAAUGCCUGAGGACACAAUCUUGUCGCAACAAACUUCUGUGAACCUUGUCCCUUUUAUUGGCCAGAGAUUUGUUUCACAAGAUGCUGCUUAUGAAUUUUAUUGCAGCUUUGCAAAGCAAUGUGGCUUUUCAAUCAGACGCCAUCGAACUCGAGGAAAAGAUGGUGUAGGUAGGGGAAUUACUAGAAGGGAUUUUACUUGCCAUCGUGGUGGCUAUCCACAGCUGAAGCCAUCAGAUGAUGGAAAGCUGCAAAGGAACCGAAAAUCAUCACGUUGCGGGUGUCAGGCAUAUAUGAGAAUUGUUAAAAGGGCAGAUUUUGAUGUCCCUGAAUGGCGGAUUACUGGCUUUAGCAACAUCCACAACCAUGAACUCUUGAAAUCAAAUGAGGUGCAGCUACUUCCUGCCUACUGCACCAUGUCUGCUGAUGACAAGAGUCGAAUAUGCAUGUUUGCAAAAGCGGGGAUGUCAGUGCGACAAAUGUUAAGAUUAAUGGAGCUAGAGAAGGGUGUUAAGCUCGGCUGUUUACCAUUCACGGAAUUAGAUGUGAGAAACCUGUUACAGUCCUUUAGAAAUGUGGAUCGAGAUAAUGAUGCAAUUGAACUUCUUAAGAUGUGCAAGGAUAAGAAGGAUAAGGAUCCCAACUUCAAAUAUGACUUCAAGAUAGAUGCCAACAAUAGGUUGGAGCAUAUUGCCUGGUCAUAUGGUUCAUCUAUUCGAUCAUAUGAGGCUUUUGGAGAUACCAUAAUAUUUGACACAACCCACCGUUUGGAUGCAUAUGAUAUGCUUCUUGGGAUUUGGAUUGGAGUGGACAAUCAUGGAAUGAACUGUUUCUUUGGUUGUGUUUUCCUACAGGAUGAAAAUAUGCAGUCCUUUUCCUGGGCAUUAAAGACAUUCUUGGGUUUCAUGAACGGAAAGUCUCCACAAACAAUUUUAACUGACCAAAACAUGUGGCUCAAAGAAGCACUUGCUAUUGAAAUGCCAAAUACCAAACAUGCUUUUUGCAUUUGGCAUAUCAUUGCAAGGUUCUCAGAUUGGUUUUCUGCACCACUUGGGUCUCAAUAUGAUAAAUGGAAAGCUGAAUUCCAUCGGCUCUACGAGUUGUACUCAGUGGAGGAUUUUGAAGUAGGAUGGAGGAAGAUGGUUGAUACGUAUGGACUACAUGGAAAUCGACACAUUGUCAGUUUAUAUGCAUUACGUUCAUUUUGGGCGCUGCCAUUUUUGAGAAGUUCCUUCUUUGCUGGGAUGACAAGUACAUUUCAAUCAGAAUCUGUAACUGCUUAUAUCCAACGGUUUUUGAGUGCACAAUCUCAGAUUGAUAACUUUGUAGAGCAGGUGGCUGCUAUUGUUGAUUUUAAAGAUCAAACAGGGGCAAAACUAAAGAUGCAGCAGAAGGUCCAGAAGGUCUCCCUCAAAACGGGUUCUCCUAUUGAGUCCCAUGCUGCUACUGUGCUUACACCAUAUGCCUUCUGUAAAUUACAGGAGGAGCUUUUGUCAGCCCCAAAGUAUGCAUCUUUAAUGUUAGAUGAAAAUUAUUUCAUUGUGAGACACCAUACAGAAAUGGAUGGAGGGUGCAAAGUGCUUUGGGUCCCUCAUGAUGAGUUCAUUAGCUGUAGUUGCCAUGAGUUUGACUUUUCAGGCAUCCUUUGUAGACAUGUCCUUCGUGUUCUUUCAAUAAACAACUGUUUUCAUAUUCCAGACCGAUAUCUACCUGCCCGCUGGCGUGAUCUCUGCUCAUCUAUGACUAGGCCCUUCCAGGUGUCUACUUCAAGGGAACAUGGAGGGAAGAUCCAGUUAUUACAGUCCAUGGUUUCAACACUUAUUGCAGAAUCAGUGGAGACAGAGCAACGGCUUGAUGUUUCUUGUGAUCAAAUUUCCAUGGUGUUGUCUCGUAUCAAGGAAUUUCCUGGACCAGCACAUGGUGCUAAUGAUAUUUCAUACAAUAGCCCUUCUGACUCAUUGAUUCUUCCAGAAGUUGAAGAUUCUGAUAGUAUGAUUCACAGUUUUAAUGUGGGAAAUCCUCAUCAUUCUAUAACUCUGGGAAAGCUGAAAGAGAGAAGACAUAGAGAUGGGGUAGAUAUCUACAGGAAACGGAGACGUUGCUCUGUGCCUUGCUGUGGGCAGUUUGGACAUGAUGCAACUGAUUGUCCAAUGAUAGGAGGUGAUGAUUUGAAUGGAGAUGGGUUAGGAUUCUUGUAGGUAAAUUGCUGGAGCUUGUUAGAUGUAUAAAAGCAAUAGCUAUAUUGUGGCCUAUAUUCAUACAUCAUCAAUAUUAGAAAUUUUCUGUCUUUCCUGAAGCAAUCCUACUUUAUUCCCGAUUUUUCUCUUUUGCAGAAUGAUCUCUCUAACAUUCUAUUAACAUCAAUGAGAUCUUCCAUUAAGGAGAGUAGAACAGUUAUACCACACUCUGUUAGCCUUUUAAUGAUAUAUGGACUUCAGUAAGAAAAUACUGUGGCUUGUUUUGUAAGUAUGAAUCAAGGAAGCCAUUUCUGUAACUGAAUCAAAGAACUGAUUUCAAUCUCAUUUUAGAACAAACUAAAUUUCUUGCUUAGCCGGUCUUUAUCUGUGCAUCAUUAAUUACUUCUUGUGCAUUUUUAUAGUUGCCAAGUUUGCAUUUGGUUCAGUAUGAACUUGAUUAGUGUUCAUUGCUGUCUGGCUGAAUUGAGUUCAUGAAGUUAAUUGACCACUAGUUUGUUUACAGUACAUUCUGUCGUAGGCUGGGGAGCCAGUUUUCUAACUUUACAGCAGUUGAUUGUAAUAUCAUGAGGCUAAUUCAUCCAAUGUGUUUUCUUGGAUCUUCGCAGAGAAAAUGUGUUUUCUUGACCAUGUUACUUUGUGAUUCAUUUGCACUAGAUAAUUAUUUCACCUGAGAAAUUCGUUUCUACUCCAUUGUUGGGUUCAGUUAUAUGAGACCUUGAAUUCAUCGUUUUUUGGAUGAUGAAGUUGUAGAUGUAAUUAUUAUGUUAUGCGCUUCAAGUUGCUUUGGAUGAGAACCAUGAAGUCACAACGAGGGCAUGUAUUUGUUCUGGAUAAAUGAACUGAUUCUGAUAUUCCUCUAACCUAAUGUCAUAUAUAGCCUAUGUUAUGUCUAGUUCAAUUCCACUUUUUAUUGGCACAUUCCUAUGCAGGACAGUACUGUGAAUUGAUUUUUUGGCUUUGUUGUUCAGAGGCAGAGUUUUUAGUUGGAAGAAAGAAAAAAAAAGAUACAAACAUAGGUAUGCAGGAACAUUGACGAUAAUGUUUUCACCUGUUGAGGUAAUUGUCUGAUUAAAUUCAAGCUCGGGGAACUGCAAUCCCAAACACUUUUGGAUCUUAUUCAGGUUCAGGAUGGAACUGCUACUAGAUCUUGCAAGUUUGCAUGGCUCCAUGAAGCAAUAUGCAGGAAUCUCAUUUUGUCACACUCAUACAUACAGCCUAAAUUGUCUAUGAUUCUUCAGAUUGCUUGGUAGCCUUCUGAUAUUAUUGCUUCUGACUUUCCUGGAUAUACUAAGGUGGAAAUCUACUUCAUGCUGGAAAUUCCUUUUGAUUCUUUGCUGGAAAUUCCUACUUUCUUUGAUGUUUUCCUUGUUUGGCAAUCCUUCCAUGGAAUUGACUCGGUGACCCUGUCUUAGUAGACAUAGUUUUCUUUAUCAGAAAACAUUUAUUUUCAAAUGUUGAGAAAGCGUAUUGUGUGA
This is an RNA transcript of Vitis riparia (riverbank grape), 4394 nucleotides long. It is a transcript of the gene named protein FAR1-RELATED SEQUENCE 11-like, with no coding region annotated. The record is from RefSeq and is a predicted model, not a curated record. Lineage: Eukaryota; Viridiplantae; Streptophyta; Magnoliopsida; Vitales; Vitaceae. The transcript is spliced from 7 exons.